RNAcentral lists this ribosomal RNA (521 nucleotides) under uncultured bacterium. RNAcentral describes it as "bacterial SSU rRNA". It matches the Rfam family "Archaeal small subunit ribosomal RNA", at positions 345 to 866 of the family's 1478-position model. The record is from RNAcentral.
AACCUCCGCAAUGUGAGAAAUCGCGACGGGGGGAUCCCAAGUGCCAUUCUUAACGGGAUGGCUUUUCAUUAGUGUAAAGAGCUUUUGGAAUAAGGGCUGGGCAAGACCGGUGCCAGCCGCCGCGGUAACACCGGCAGCUCUAGUGGUAACAAUUUUUAUUGGGCCUAAAGCGUCCGUAGCCGGUUUAAUAAGUCUCUGGUGAAAUCCUGUGGCUUAACUGUGGGAAUUGCUGGAGAUACUAUUAGACUUGAGACCGGGAGAGGUUAGAGGUACUCCCAGGGUAGAGGUGAAAUUCUGUAAUCCUGGGAGGACCGCCUGUUGCGAAGGCGUCUAACUGGAACGGUUCUGACGGUGAGGGACGAAAGUUAGGGGCGCGAACCGGAUUAGAUACCCGGGUAGUCCUAACUGUAAACGAUGCGGACUUGGUGUUGGGGUGGCUUUGAGCUGUUCCAGUGCCGAAGGGAAGCUGUUAAGUCCGCCGCCUGGGAAGUACGGUCGCAAGACUGAAACUUAAAGGAAUU